Molecule: ribosomal RNA, 920 nt
Filed under: uncultured Halobacteriales archaeon
Lineage: Archaea; Methanobacteriati; Methanobacteriota; Halobacteria; Halobacteriales
Description: bacterial SSU rRNA
Rfam family: Archaeal small subunit ribosomal RNA
Source: RNAcentral
AGCCCUCGCGUUUUCACGACCGUAGGGAGGUCGUGGAACAAGAGCUGGGCAAGACCGGUGCCAGCCGCCGCGGUAAUACCGGCAGCUCGAGUGAUGGCCGCUGUUAUUGGGCCUAAAGCGUCCGUAGCUGGCCACGCAAGUCCGUCGGGAAAUCCAACGGCUCAACCGUUGGGCGUCCGGCGGAAACUGCGUGGCUUGGGACCGGAAGGCUCGAGGGGUACGUCCGGGGUAGGAGUGAAAUCCCGUAAUCCUGGACGGACCACCGAUGGCGAAAGCACCUCGAGAAGACGGAUCCGACAGUGAGGGACGAAAGCUGGGGUCUCGAACCGGAUUAGAUACCCGGGUAGUCCCAGCCGUAAACGAUGCCAGUUAGGUGUGGGCAGAGGCUACGAGCCUCUGCUGUGCCGUAGGGAAGCCGAGAAACUGGCCGCCUGGGAAGUACGUCCGCAAGGAUGAAACUUAAAGGAAUUGGCGGGGGAGCACUACAACCGGAGGAGCCUGCGGUUUAAUUGGACUCAACGCCGGACAUCUCACCAGCUCCGACUACAGUGAUGACGGUCAGGUUGAUGACCUUACCACGACGCUGUAGAGAGGAGGUGCAUGGCCGCCGUCAGCUCGUACCGUGAGGCGUCCUGUUAAGUCAGGCAACGAGCGAGACCCGCACGCUUAAUUGCCAGCAUCAGGUUUCCUGGAUGGGUACAUUAAGCGGACUGCCGCUGCUAAAGCGGAGGAAGGAACGGGCAACGGUAGGUCAGUAUGCCCCGAAUGAGCUGGGCUACACGCGGGCUACAAUGGCCAGGACAGUGGGUUCCAACCUCGAGAGAGGACGGUAAUCUCCGAAACCUGGCCGUAGUUCGGAUUGCGGGCUGAAACUCGCCCGCAUGAAGCUGGAUUCGGUAGUAAUCGCGUUUCAGCAGAGC